Molecule: long non-coding RNA, 355 nt
Organism: Canis lupus familiaris (dog)
Lineage: Eukaryota; Metazoa; Chordata; Mammalia; Carnivora; Canidae
Exons: 3
Source: RefSeq, a predicted model, not a curated record
GGCCACCAGUGCAGAUGAAAACUAUGUACCAAGGAGUAGUCCAAGGAGCAUGCACCUCUUUUGUCUGCCCAUCUAAACUAAAUGUAUGGCCUUCUUCUUGUAAUGAACCACAAGGAUUGGAUAUCACUAAUUCUAUCCCUGCCAUCUGCCAAUGGCUGCUAGAAAAACUGGCCUUUUAAAACAGCUAAAUUUUGUUCCAAUAUGAAAUCUCAGGUAGUAUAAGACUAGUAUAUCAUUUGUUCCCAUUGAAAAACACCCAUAACAUGAAUCUGAGUAAGAGUUUUACUAAGAAGUCCCACAAUUGGAGAUACUUGGAACUCUACAUUUAUCUAUGAAUUUCAAGAGAUGAAUUCCC